Molecule: ribosomal RNA, 396 nt
Filed under: uncultured bacterium
Lineage: Bacteria
Description: partial 16S ribosomal RNA
Rfam family: Bacterial small subunit ribosomal RNA
Source: RNAcentral
AUACGUAGGUGGCGAGCGUUAUCCGGAUUUACUGGGUGUAAAGGGCGCGUAGGCGGGGGUGCAAGUCAGAUGUGAAAUCUAUGGGCUCAACUCAUAAGCUGCAUUUGAAACUGUACUUCUUGAGUACUGGAGAGGUAGACGGAAUUCCUUGUGUAGCGGUGAAAUGCGUAGAUAUAAGGAAGAACACCAGUGGCGAAGGCGGUCUACUGGACAGCAACUGACGCUGAGGCGCGAAAGCGUGGGGAGCAAACAGGAUUAGAUACCCUGGUAGUCCACGCUGUAAACGAUGAAUACUAGGUGUGGGGGGACUGACCCCUUCCGUGCCGCAGUUAACACAAUAAGUAUUCCACCUGGGGAGUACGGCCGCAAGGUUGAAACUCAAAUGAAUUGACGGGG